GGUUGGACAAAAGAAGACGAUUCCGUCAUGUUGAAAAUAAGAUCUCAGAAGAUUGCUACUUCUAACCUCUCAAGGAGGCUCUGAUACCAAAUGUUAAAAAACAAAGAAAAGAAAUAUAGAAGACAGAUGAGAGAAAAAGAUAAUAUAUUGAAUUGCAGUAGAUGGCUUUAUAUAGCCUUACAAAAACAGCAAAAGCUAAAAAUCUGUAGAAUAAUUCAGCAAAUCAAAACAACUUGAAAAUCCCUUAGCAAUAGGGAUUUAUUGACUAAAACAAAAUAGCAAAUUCUAACAAAGUCAACUAACCCAAUAAAAAGCGACGAAUUCGUUGCCAACACAAGGAGCCACUAACUAUCAAAGGGGGAAGCACAAAGCAGAGAGAACUCUUCCAACUAGGUGGACAUGCAAAACUGAUACAACCUUCCCGAAGUUAAGCAGAGUUCCCUAAACAAUUUCGUCAACCUCUGGACACGGUUGAACUAGGAAACAAAUUUUUGUCAGAUAAAUGAACUAGAGACCAUGGAGAUGCUGAAGAAUCGGGGAAGGCAUAACAAAACUUAAGCUUCUCAUUCUCAAAUAGCUUAGAAGGGAUUGAGGACCAACAGCUCAAUCAACACCAUUACAUCCUUUAGUUGCCAACCAAUAGGGUGAACCCCUGGAACUAAAUCUCUAUGAUUCAACAAAGCUGAUCUUCACUAAAAUCCUAGAUCUGUAAGCCAUAACAAUACAAAGACAAAAUAUUCACAAACCCAUCUCGAAGGAGACUCCAGACUAGAGAGGAGUCAUCCCCUACCGAGAGCGAUAGGGAAUAGCUAUCGCAAAUUGAGAGAACUGAAAUUGUAUUGAAUUAAUUGAAUGAAUUACAAAUAUAUGAGCCAUGCUAGGAAAUAAAAUUACAGUUACCUAUGCUAACAACUUCAUAACAGAAAAAUUAAUUUGCCUAAGCUGCUUUCGAACUGACUUUGACAACUUUACCCUUUUCAUCUAAUAAUAACUGCG
Molecule: unclassified non-coding RNA, 996 nt
Filed under: Hevea brasiliensis (rubber tree)
Lineage: Eukaryota; Viridiplantae; Streptophyta; Magnoliopsida; Malpighiales; Euphorbiaceae
Source: RNAcentral